RNAcentral lists this ribosomal RNA (253 nucleotides) under uncultured bacterium. Its description in RNAcentral is "partial 16S ribosomal RNA". It matches the Rfam family "Bacterial small subunit ribosomal RNA", at positions 524 to 776 of the family's 1533-position model. The record is from RNAcentral.
UACAGGGGGGGCGAGCGUUGUUCGGAAUUACUGGGCGUAAAGGGUUUGUAGGUGGCUUGCUCAGUCAGACGUGAAAUCCCUCAGCUUAACUGGGGAACUGCGUCUGAUACUAGCGAGCUUGAGUGCAGGAGAGGAACGCGGAAUUCCAGGUGUAGCGGUGAAAUGCGUAGAUAUCUGGAGGAACACCGGUGGCGAAGGCGGCGUCCUGGACUGCAACUGACACUGAAAAACGAAAGCCAGGGGAGCAAACGGG